This 775-nucleotide ribosomal RNA is filed under the name uncultured Neocallimastigales. Its description in RNAcentral is "partial large subunit ribosomal RNA". It matches the Rfam family "Eukaryotic large subunit ribosomal RNA", at positions 20 to 649 of the family's 3401-position model. The record is from RNAcentral. Lineage: Eukaryota; Fungi; Neocallimastigomycota; Neocallimastigomycetes; Neocallimastigales.
UACUAGAGUAGCACUCGCAUAUCAAUAAGCGGAGGAAAAGAAACUAACAAGGAUUCCCCUAGUAACGGCGAGUGUAAGCGGGAAGAGCUCAAAUUUGAAAUCUUAAAGGGUUUCCCUUUACGAAUUGUAGUUUAAAGAAGUGUUUUCUGUUGAGGUUUUGGUAAAAGUUCUUUGGAAUAGGACAUCAUAGAGGGUGAGAAUCCCGUAUUUGACCUUUACUUUCAACUUUGUGAUACACUUUCAAAGAGUCGGAUUGUUUGGGAAUGCAGUCCAAAAUGGGUGGUAAAUUUCAUCUAAAACUAAAUAUUGGCGAGAGACCGAUAGCGAACAAGUACCGUGAGGGAAAGAUGAAAAGAACUUUGAAAAGAGAGUUAAACAGUACGUGAAAUUGUCAAAAGGGAAGCGUUUGACACCAGUGUUGUUUUUCUGAAAAUCAAUUAAAGAACUGUUUAUGCUAAGCUGUUUAGACUUUAUCAGCUAUCUGUUUAGUUUUGAGCUUUUCUUUAAUGCACUUUUCAGUUAACAAGUCAACAUCAAUUUCUUUUGCUGUAAAAAAGCUUGAGGAAGGUGGCUUGAGAUUCGUCUUAAGUGUUUAUAGCCUCUUGCCUAUGCAGUCGGAGAGAUUGAGGUCCGCAGCGUAGAUCCUUCGGGGCUAAAUGCAUUUGUGCUAAGUUAUAGCAUUUUAUAGACAACUUGUUGACUAUGAUUUGUCUUGUAGCUUACUCGCUUAUGUUAUUUUACCUACGCUUAGGAUGUUGAGUAGCGACAUACGCAC